GUGAAUCAUCGAAUCUUUGAACGCAAAUUGCACUCUCUUCUGAGAGUAUGCCUGUUUGAGGGUCAGUAUUAAUAAAAAUCGGAGUGUUGCGUCUUUGUGACGCUCCGGAGUUUGGGUCAUCUUAAGAUCCUUGAGGUUUUAAGCGGCUGAAGAUUGACUUUUUUUAUGCAUUGUAGAGGUACAUAAAUU
Molecule: unclassified non-coding RNA, 189 nt
Filed under: Glomeraceae sp.
Lineage: Eukaryota; Fungi; Glomeromycota; Glomeromycetes; Glomerales; Glomeraceae
Description: partial contains 5.8S ribosomal RNA and internal transcribed spacer 2
Rfam family: 5.8S ribosomal RNA (bases 1-65)
Source: RNAcentral